This 143-nucleotide unclassified non-coding RNA is filed under the name uncultured Rhytismatales. RNAcentral's name for it is "sequence contains ITS2". Lineage: Eukaryota; Fungi; Ascomycota; Leotiomycetes; Rhytismatales. The record is from RNAcentral.
CAACCCUCAAGCUCUGCUUGGUAUUGGGCUUGUCUUCGGGUUUGCCUCAAAAUCAGUGGCGGUACCGUCUGACCUUAAGCGCAGUAAUACUCGUCGCUUGUAGAAUCAGUCGGAGGCCUGCUAGAAACCCCCACCAUAUUAAA